AUGAAACACAGAGUUACAAUCGAUUUUCAAAAAGCAAGUGGGAAGAAAGAUGCUGUGCAGAGAGAAGUAAACAUCAACAAAACCAUCAAUAAUGUCAUUAGGAGGAAGCCACCAGAGAUUACACUUCAUCAAAACGAACACGUAAACCAAGAAAGCGGGAGACACGUAAUCCAGAAAGCAGAGAAGUCACUGCAGGAUGGAAGAGAAAGGAAGUCCUGGGUGAUAGCUGCCCAGCCAGAUGCAGAAGGUCAGCAGCCCAGGCUGGAGAUCGGCAGCUCCAGAAACACUUCAAGAGGCAUCGUGCAAGGUGCUGGGAAUAAAAGGACUGACUAUGACGAGAUGACUGUCCUCCAGGAGCACCGAGUCACUUGCAGACAGACGCACGUUGCGCGAGAGAACAAUCCCUGAACGUAAGUAACUGUUUUUUCCCACUAUCGUUUCUCCACAUGCUACUCAUUAGAAGUGAGUCACUAAGUGCAGCCCACACUCACGGAGGGGAGACUUGAUGGGAGGAACAGCAAAGCAUUCGUGGACUAUUUUAAAACCAUCACAGUGGGGAUGGGGGACCAAACACGGGGCCAGCUAACAGCUGCUGGGUCCUGAUCCGUCACUACUAAGCCCUGUGAUCCUAGAAGAUUCACUUGUUCCCUGGGCUCAGUGUCUCUCGUGCGGUUUGGAGAUACUGCUGCUGUAUGUGUCGCAGGGCGAGUUGCUCAACUCAGCAGGGAGGCAGAUAGCAACUGAGUCAAGAAUGUGGGCUUCGGAAUCAAAUCCCUGCCUCACCACGUCAUGUCUCUGAGCCUCAGUUUCCCCACCUGUACCAUUACCUCCAUGCCAGGGUUGCGGAGACAUAGACUGAGGCAAGUAUGUGCAGAGAGCUGGUCUUGCCUGAGUUUAAGCUGAGCCAGUCCAGAGACACCUAUUUGCUGGAGAAGCCUCUUUGCAUAUAACGCAACCGAUGCAAGAGCAGGCUGGAGGAGACCUGCUCCCCAUCACCUGCAGGUUCUUGUGACCGCACAGGAAGCCAGCCUCCACCUUCAUCAUUUCCCCCAACUCGGCUGCCUUCUGGGGACAUGACCAGAAUUUGGGAUCUGGGGGAAGAAUUCAGCUGCUCCUGGGAUUAAAAGCAUCACCCCAGACUGAAGCCAAAGGCACCCUUCCCCAUGAUCUCUCACUACUUGGAGAUACAUUCAAAUCGAUGUGGUCACAUGGCCCUGCUCAAGCCCUGGUGGCUUGGAACACUCUGGAAGCCACCUUUCAGAGUGCACCUGGAGCACACGGGACCAGAGGCCCAGCUUUAAGAAGAAUGCUCAGCUCAGGACUGGGUGCUCCAGUCUCAGAAUCAAACUUAAAUCAGUUUUAAGCCAUGAUUUCUGGGCGCCCAGUCUUUGGGGAUCUUCAAGCUCUUUCUGGAAGGGGAGUGGUAUAUCAGUGGCAGGAUAUUCUGUUAGGGCUCUAAUAAGUCCCAGCAGCCCUGUUCCUCUGGAGCCAGCUCCGGGUCUCGGGGCUUGCUCUGAAGCAGGCUCUGUAAGGCAGGGUGCUGCUGGAAAGUGGAAAUGUGCAGGAAGCCACCUGCCAGGAUGUGCAGUUCACUCACAGCUCCUUGGGCAAGUCCCUGCUGGAGAGGCUUGACCCUCCUGUAACCCACGAAGCCUGAUUUUACCCUCCUGUGGAGAACGUUUGACGACAGAGCUGCUUGUCCAUUGCACUGAGCAAAUCCUCCAAGGUCUGCAGGCUACUCCCAGGCAAGGCUGCAUGGCUGAGCCAUAACCCCCAGUAUCUCAGAACCUGACUGUGUUGGGAGAUGGGGCCUUUAAAGAGGUAGUGAAAAUAAGAUGAUUCGAGUGGGGCCUUAAUCCAAUCCCAUGGGCAUGUGUAGAAGAAAAAGAGGUUAGGACGCACAGAGAAACGCGGGGGCAUGCUGGCACGCAGCAAACACCAUGUGCAGACACAGGCAGAAGACGACCAUCUGCCACGGAGAGAGACCUCCCCAGAAGCCAACUCUGCCAGCAUCCCGUUCUCAAGGUCCAGCCUCCAGAACCACGAGAAAAUACGUUUCUAUUGUUCAAGCCCCGCAGUCUGUGGGAUUUUGUUAUGGAAGCUCCAGUAAACUAAUACACGCACCAGCAAAAUUUGUCUCCUGAUUAUCCCAGCUACAUAAGUCAUUGCAUUUCCAUUGUUGCCAUGGAUGCCAGGGAGCUCAGAGCAAAAUGAUCAGUUAUACUGACCAUAUUGUCUGGAGCAAGUUAGUAUGUUCUGGGGACAUGAUCCCUCCCCAGAAAAACCAGCCGAGCCGCAUCCAGGAAUGAGGUGGCAUGAAGAGACUGCUGUGGGUCUGACUCCUCUUCUCAAUGGAGCAUGGACUGUGGGGCACAAAGAGGCUGCUGUGGGUCUGACUCCUCUUCUCAGUGGAGCAGGGACUCAGCACUCUUUUGGGCCAUGUUGUUAAGGCUGUGCUUCAUUUUACUGACCUGGAGAAACGUGUCUACGGACCUGGUACAGAGCUCUGGUCCAAGGCUGCUUCCACAUGCCGAUGCCUGGCUGACUUCAUCUGUCCCCUAAAGCAAAGAGGUUGGAUCUGGAAGCCCCACGUAGCAAAUUCUUGGACCCCCUGCUGUAGGAAGUCCCCAGGGAUGGCCUGCCUCCACAUUCCAAGCCACAUGAAGCUUCUCAUGAGAGCAGAUGAGCACAGGCUUUGGUACAGGCAUGUAGCUGUCGGUCUGGUGAACGUCAUCUGUUCCAUACCCGUCAGAAGGAGAGUCAGAAGCAGCUUGCAUUCAUGUGUGAUGGACAAAAGCAAGCAAUCAGCCUCGCCCUGGGGUAGGCUGACUCUCCUGUCCUCUGAUACAAUAUGGUCUUCAGGAAGGGGAUGGGACUGUAUGAACUUUCUGCAGAGUAGCUCACUGGUCCAUUGUGUUGGUGACACCAUGGUAGGUAACCAGACGUGAAGAGCAGGAAGUGGCAAGUACUCUUGAUGCCACAGAAGAUGCGUUCUCUGGAGGGUGGGAUGUAAACCCUAGAGGGAUUCAGGGGCCUGUCCUGUUUGUAGUGUUUCUAGGAGCCCAGUAGUCUAGGGCAGGAUGGGCGACCCUUCCAAAUAAAGGGUGAGUUGUUCCACCUUGAACUUCUAAGUCUGAGAAGAAAAAAAGAGCUGGGCGUGGUGGCUCACACCUGUGAUCCCAGUACUUUGGGAGACCAAGUGGGCGGAUCAGGAGGUCGGGAGAUUGAAACCAUCUUGGACAACAUGGUGAAACCCCAUCUCUACUAAAAAUACAAAAAUUAGCCAGGCAUGAUGGCGGGCACCUGUAGUCUCAGCUACGUGGGAGACUGAGGCAGGUGAAUCGCUUGAACCUGGGAGGCAGAGGUUACAGUGAGCGGAGAUUGCGCCACUGCAUCCCAGCCUGGUGACAGAGUAAGACUCUGUCUCAAAAAAAAAAAUGAG
This 3442-nucleotide long non-coding RNA is filed under the name Callithrix jacchus (white-tufted-ear marmoset). Its description in RNAcentral is "lncRNA (ENSCJAG00000085720.1)". The record is from RNAcentral. Lineage: Eukaryota; Metazoa; Chordata; Mammalia; Primates; Cebidae.